CUCAACAGCUCCCCACAGGUUUCCCACCCCUCUGGGCAUCUGGGAGGCUUGGCCUUAUCUGCCAUUCCUAGCCUGGCUACUCAGUGCAAUGUUGGUACCUGUCCUUGGGUCUCUGUGGGUUCCCUUGAAGACUCAGAAGAGCUUCUCUGUCAUUUCCCUUGUGGGGUGGAGGUUUGGGGUGGCAUAAACCCUUAAUUCUCCCCAGGUCCUAGUACUAGACAAGAUGUUCAGCAUAUAAUUUUCUAAGUUUCUUAAGAUGAAUUCCUGCAUGGGAGGGUCUCAGAGCCCUGGAUUCUCCAUGCUCAUGCUCCAUCCCUCACCAUGGGGAAAUUGUUCCUUUCAAACAAGUAGAAGGUCCCAUACACCACCUACUCACAGCUUAGAAAUAUCUUUUCUAGGUUCAGUCAAGACCAUCCAACUUUUUUUUCUUGGUUGCUUUGUUUUCUUUAUAGCUUGGGCCCCAGGAGCAGAAGACCACUGCUUUAUCUUUUCAGGGUAAUUUCUCAUCACUGCACAAACUUUUCUUGCUUUUUUAUUUUCUUAUUUCCUUUUGUUCUCACUCUCUUUUUUCAUUCAUAUUCUCCACUUCCAAAUGCCAACCAUUGUGCUCCAUGUGAAACUUAUUUUGAUGAAGCAUAUAUUACUUUGAUGCUUUUUAAUUUUGUGUGUGUUUGUUUAUGAUGCUGGGGAUGGCACCCAGGGCCUUGCAAAUGCUAUGCAAAUGCUCUAUCACUGAACUACAUCCCCAGCCUCUGUGUGUAUUUUUUUAAAAAAAUUACUAAUUCUAUUGGCUAAAAGUCUCUUUCCCCUACCUCACAAAGCACCAUGUUUUCAAAGGCCCAUGGGUGUCAUGUGCUCAGCUAAUGCAUUAUUUCCCAUUGCCACAAAUAUCCCAUUGUGUGCAUGGACUCACCCCGUGUUCCCAU
Molecule: long non-coding RNA, 926 nt
Filed under: Marmota monax (woodchuck)
Lineage: Eukaryota; Metazoa; Chordata; Mammalia; Rodentia; Sciuridae
Source: RNAcentral